UGGGGAAUAUUGCACAAUGGGCGCAAGCCUGAUGCAGCCAUGACGCGUGUAUGAAGAAGGCCUUCGGGUUGUAAAGUACUUUCAGCGGGGAGGAAGGCGAUAAGGUUAAUAACCUUGUCGAUUGACGUUACCCGCAGAAGAAGCACCGGCUAACUCCGUGCCAGCAGCCGCGGUAAUACGGAGGGUGCAAGCGUUAAUCGGAAUUACUGGGCGUAAAGCGCACGCAGGCGGUCUGUCAAGUCGGAUGUGAAAUCCCCGGGCUCAACCUGGGAACUGCAUUCGAAACUGGCAGGCUAGAGUCUUGUAGAGGGGGGUAGAAUUCCAGGUGUAGCGGUGAAAUGCGUAGAGAUCUGGAGGAAUACCGGUGGCGAAGGCGGCCCCCUGGACAAAGACUGACGCUCAGGUGCGAAAGCGUGGGGAGCAAACA
RNAcentral lists this ribosomal RNA (427 nucleotides) under uncultured bacterium. Its description in RNAcentral is "partial 16S ribosomal RNA". It matches the Rfam family "Bacterial small subunit ribosomal RNA", at positions 355 to 774 of the family's 1533-position model. The record is from RNAcentral.